Pipra filicauda (Wire-tailed manakin) is the source of this 1203-nucleotide long non-coding RNA. RefSeq lists it as uncharacterized. Lineage: Eukaryota; Metazoa; Chordata; Aves; Passeriformes; Pipridae. The transcript is spliced from 2 exons. The record is from RefSeq and is a predicted model, not a curated record.
GCAGCGGCACACGCUGCCCUUUCCCCUCCCGCCGAGCCGGGCGGCCCUGGGGGAGCUGCCAGACCCCGCAGACCCGCUCCCUGCUCCCUCCAGCCUCCCCGGCCUCCUGCCUCCCCAUGGAUGUCAGGGGCGGCCCCCACGCCACAGAUUUCUUCUAUGUCCUGCAGAAAGGAGGACACUGCCUGGACAUUGAAACGCCCUGCUUCAAGUACCCACUCAUACCUGAUGGCAAUGAAGGGGAACUUCUCAUGAGAUUAGAAAAACACCAGAGAAGAAUGCUCUCACUGUGCCUUUAGGAUGGGCCUUUGAGGUAAAGGAUGGGAUCCCGUCUCCCACCAAAAGCUCCUGGAAGUUCCCAGCUCUGGGCCCAUCUGUUUCCCACGGGACCAUAUGUUCCCAGUGAGCAACACCCUAGGAGAGGGUGUUUAUCAAGACUAGCAGGUUGAAGCUUGGCAGAAUCUGCAAGAAAGCAAUUGGAGGCCUUUAAACGCAGACUUUCUAUUUGCAGUAUGUGAAGCCUGCAUGUGUGUGUUUCCUUCAACCACCCAUAUACCACAGGGGAAACCAUUCAAAAACAGGAUCCAAAAAUAGAAGAAAUUGUGUGACUCACAGCCCUGCCACCCUGAGUUGUACACUCAGCACAGAUCCCAGGCAAAGCACCAUUAGGUGCUACAUACUCUCCCCACUCAGAGCUCCAAGUAACCACAAAGGAAAAUCUACACUGUAUACACAUAACAAUACAUUACAUGCUGAAGGCAUCUCACUCAACAGUUCCCUUAUCUCCAAAUGGGCACUGUUCCAACACCACACUAAGAAGGUUUGGUUCUGCUGGCUGAGCAGGUCUUCUGGUGAAAAACAGCUGAGAAGAUCAGCCUGCAAAGAUUACAGAAUGACACAUAAAUACAGAAAUAUUAACACCACUGUCCUUGGCCACAUUUCUAUCUCUCUGGGAUUUUCAGCUAAGAAGGUUACUCCUUGCAUCUGCUCUUAAAUAUAUUGUGUUCAAUAUUUUUAUGGUCCUUCAUAUGUUCAAGAUGUUCGUAUUUCAGAGGUCACUGAAUUGAGUUUUGUCUAUAGAAACAAAAAGGUACAUGAGAGUUACCAGUUUUUGCCUGGGUAAUACCCACUUUCUUGUCAGAUAAACAGCAAGCAGCUGAACAUUUUCUAAAAAAAUGUUAUUUCUAAUAAAAAUAUUUUUGUCAA